GAUAUAAUAAGAACGCAAAAGAUGGUUACUGUGGGUUAAUGGAUUAUGGUAU
RNAcentral lists this non-coding RNA (52 nucleotides) under Trypanosoma lewisi. The record is from RNAcentral. Lineage: Eukaryota; Euglenozoa; Kinetoplastea; Trypanosomatida; Trypanosomatidae.